This 436-nucleotide ribosomal RNA is filed under the name uncultured bacterium. Its description in RNAcentral is "bacterial SSU rRNA". It matches the Rfam family "Bacterial small subunit ribosomal RNA", at positions 29 to 506 of the family's 1533-position model. The record is from RNAcentral.
ACGAACGCUGGUGGUAUGCUUAACACAUGCAAGUCGAACGGGUAUAGCAAUAUAUCAGUGGCAAACGGGUGAGGAAUAUAUAGGAAUCUACCUAGCAGUAAGGAAUAACUUUGGGAAACCAAAGCUAAUGCCAUAUAUUACCGAUUUAUCGGGAAAGAUUUAUCGCUGUUAGAUGAGCCUGUAUCGGAUUAGCUAGUUGGUAGGGUAAUGGCCUACCAAGGCAAUGAUCCGUAGCUGGUCUGAGAGGAUGAUCAGCCACAUUGGGACUGCGACACGGCCCAAACUCCUACGGGAGGCAGCAGUGGGGAAUAUUGGACAAUGGACGCAAGUCUGAUCCAGCAAUACCACGUGAGUGAUGAAGGCCUUCGGGUUGUAAAACUCUUUUAGUAGGGAAGAUAAUGACGGUACCUACAGAAAAAGCACCGGCUAACUUCGU